UUCCCAGGGGGAAAAUGCAUUCAUUUUUCAUCACCAUAUAAACUUCUGGGUAUAUUUGUAUAGAUGAUGGACUAUGGAUUUCUGGAGCAAGAUGGGGAGCGUCAGAAACCUAACUCCAGGAUUUGCUGGGUUCUCCAAACUGUAGCGGGAACCUCACUCCCAGGCCGAUGCCCCUCUAGCGUCUGCAGCUCUGGGCCCCAGGGAGGGAGGAAGGAGCCACAGAGGGUUCGGACAACAGCACUGACUGAUGCCAGAGCAGGACUCCAUUCUGUUAACCUGACAAAGCGCACAGGCUGCGCCGGCAUGUUUUUCUUCCACUUUCUACACUAAUUUAUCAAACUGGAAGGAAGAGAUCAGAACAUCAAAUAAAAAUCCACAGCCACAGAGCAAUUAACUCAAGACCUAACAUGUACCUGGAUAAGGGGACUCACAAGAAUUCCGGUAUCUACAAGGUUUUAAAUGGCAAUGUUUUCUAACUUUGUAUCUUGGGUUAUUGGUCGUCAAUGUUUCCAAAAAUAAUCACUCCUCUCAGUUACA
Homo sapiens (human) is the source of this 537-nucleotide long non-coding RNA. RefSeq lists it as uncharacterized. The transcript has 2 exons. Lineage: Eukaryota; Metazoa; Chordata; Mammalia; Primates; Hominidae. The record is from RefSeq and is a predicted model, not a curated record.